UUAAUACUUUCUCCGUCCCAAAAUUCUUGUCUUAAAUUUGUCUAAAUACGGAUGUAUCAAGUCACGUUUUAAAAUUAGAUACAUUCGUAUCUAGACUAAUCUAAGACAAGAAUUUUGGGACGGAGGAUGUCUUAG
Triticum aestivum (bread wheat) is the source of this 135-nucleotide non-coding RNA. The record is from Rfam. Lineage: Eukaryota; Viridiplantae; Streptophyta; Magnoliopsida; Poales; Poaceae.